This 515-nucleotide ribosomal RNA is filed under the name uncultured bacterium. RNAcentral's name for it is "bacterial SSU rRNA". It matches the Rfam family "Bacterial small subunit ribosomal RNA", at positions 32 to 518 of the family's 1533-position model. The record is from RNAcentral.
AACGCUGGCGGCGUGCCUAAUACAUGCAAGUCGAACGGUCUUUUCUAUGGAAGCUUGCUUCCACUGAGAAGAUAGUGGCGAACGGGUGAGUAACACGUGGGUAACCUGCCCAUAAGAGGGGGAUAACAUCCGGAAACGGGUGCUAAUACCGCAUAGUUUUCUUGAUUGCAUGAUUGAGAAAGGAAAGACGGCCUUUGUGCUGUCGCUUAUGGAUGGACCCGCGGCGUAUUAGUUAGUUGGUGAGGUAACGGCUCACCAAGACGAUGAUACGUAGCCGACCUGAGAGGGUGAUCGGCCACAUUGGGACUGAGACACGGCCCAAACUCCUACGGGAGGCAGCAGUAGGGAAUCUUCCGCAAUGGACGAAAGUCUGACGGAGCAACGCCGCGUGAGUGAAGAAAAGGUUUUCGGAUCGUAAAACUCUGUUGUCAGAGAAGAACAAGUUGGAGAGUAACUGCUCCAGCCUUGACGGUAUCUGACCAGAAAGCCACGGCUAACUACGUGCCAGCAGCCGC